Sycon ciliatum is the source of this 2875-nucleotide long non-coding RNA. RefSeq lists it as uncharacterized. Lineage: Eukaryota; Metazoa; Porifera; Calcarea; Leucosolenida; Sycettidae. The transcript has 6 exons. The record is from RefSeq and is a predicted model, not a curated record.
UCAAGAAGUCCAGCAGCCACCAAGCGAACUGGCAUGGCUAGCAGUGGCCUCUGCAGCUGACAUAACGUCGAAAGUUCGGUCUUCGGACCUGUCCAUCGUGUCACAUCGUUUGUGACUUCUGUGGCUAUCCGUACACCGACCGACCUGCAGUGCAGACUGGAUAUGAGUGCGUUUGCAUACCAUGCCUUCGUUAUUAUUAUCAUUUUUUUGCAAACUGUCACCAACAUCGAAACGGACACAAAGCUGGCGAGCGACAGAAUAUGGACAAGUGCAAGACGUACUAUUCUCACGCUAUCUAUUAGCCGACUGCGGCGUGCAGACCCUCAUCCGGAGUCAUUGCUGUUCGUUCAGGAGUCACUCAGUGGCACGGCAGAGAAAGCCACGAGCGAUGCGGAUGGCGUAGCAAGUAAAUCUGCUGAAUGAGGCAGUAAGAAACCCCAUCCAGCAAUUAAGCCAAAGCCAGUGGUGGCUGGUUCUCGUCCUGCACACCUACGACAGCAAAUAUCCAAACUUGGAGAAGAGGUAGUGGAACCACCGUCGUCUUUUGAAAAGGACCCAAUACCAGGGUCAAUGGUACAUACUCUACUUCGUCUAGCACCCGGUUCGACAGGAAGACGCUUGCCAACUCGGCGUAGCACGGCUGCCAAGUCAGACUCUCUCUUUGUCAUGUAAUGUAUCAGAGAGGUUGAAACACUGAAACUGUCAAGUUGGAGGAGCUUUGAGAACUGCAAUAGAGUAUACCGAAAUUAUCAGUUCUCUUCAACGUCACGAGUCUAUCAAAAGUUGUCGCCUUUGGCAUUUGCUUUUUACCUACUAGUAUGUACCAGCCUACAAGUACUUGCAAGCAGUAGUAGCGAUGGCUAUGUAGACCGAGUCAGCGGUCAGCGGUUGGUGUUCGCUAUUCAGGACUUGGCUGCGGAAAAAGAUUUGGUUGGAAGGAGCUACUGGUAGCUAAAAAUGACAUGCAAGCGAAGCGUCAGCAUGUCGUGAACAAAGGUACGAUAGUCGCUAGACCGGCUAUGUAAAGUUAGCAGUUAUGUCCUGUACUACAACUAAGUAUAGCAACGAAGUCAAGACGCUUGCAACGAGCUUGAAACGGCAACGUCGUUACACGUAGCAGGUCAACACAGUAUGUCUUUGGAAGACGGAGUUCAACUUGGGUCAAGAAGUCCAGCAGCCACCAAGCGAACUGGCAUGGCUAGCAGUGGCCUCUGACAUAACGUCGAAAGUUCGGUCUUCGGACCUGUCCAUCGUGUCACAUCAUUUGUGACUUCUGUGGCUAUCCGUACACCGACCGACCUGCAGUGCAGACUGGAUAUGAGUGCGUUUGCAUACCAUGCCUUCGUUAUUAUUAUCAUUUUUUUGUAAACUGUCACCAAUAUCGACACGGACACAAAGCUGGCGAGCGACAGAAUAUGGACAAGUGCAAGACGUACUAUUCUCACGCUAUCUAUUAGCCGACUGCGGCGUGCAGACCCUCAUCCGGAGUCAUUGCUGUUCGUUUAGGAGUCACUCAGUGGCACGGCAGAGAAAGCCACGAGCGAUGCGGAUGGCGUAGCAAAUCUGCUGAAGGAGGCAGUAAGAAACCCCGUCCAGCCGUUAAGCCAAAGCCAGUGGCUGGUUCUCGUCCUGCACACCUACGACAGCAAAUAUCCAAACCUGAAGAAGAGGUAGUGGAACCACCGUCGUCUUUUGAAAAGGACCCAAUACCAGGAUCAAUGGUACAUACUCUACUUCGUCGAGCACCCGGUUCGACAGGAAGACGCUUGCCAACUCGGCGUAGCACGGCUGCCAAGUCAGACUCUCUCUUUGUCAUGUAAUGUAUCAGAGAGGCUGGAACACUGAAACUGUCAAGUUGGAGGAGCUUUGAGAACUGCAAUAGAGUAUACCGAAAUUAUCAGUAAGUUGGUGAAAUCAAGGACUAGCUGUGCACUACACUGGUCUGGCAUGGUGCUGUUGCUGCUACAGUGUAGUAGUGGUGUACUGCGCUGCACUGGUUAGGCUAACGAGGUGAUCCUGCUAGUUGUGUAUUGCACUGCGCUGGUUAGGCUAACGUGGAGAUCCUGCUCAAGACCGGGGCGCUCUUGCUAGCCUCCAUGUUGCUGUUGUUCCCGGUCUUGGAAUCAGCUAACAGUUAUCAGCUAUGCGUGGUACUUGUGUGUCAUAUCUACUAGAUGUUCUGAUUUUGGCAAGUGAUUCUUUCCCCGCCCCCGCAGCCUAUUUGCUUUCAGAAUAUUAUUAAUUCUUACAAAAUAAAACUGUUGUGCCGUAGGUAGUAUGUGCUGCAGCAGUACGUCUAUUAUUACGAUUUGGAAAGUCUUGAAUUAUCGUUUCAUAGCCCCAUUCCUGAAGAUCGUUGAAUGACAUUGUGGAAUUACUCCCCUCUUUUAAUCAAUUUCCUUCUCAGAGUGACUCUGAUUCCUGCAUUUUGGUGAAUGGUGUGCAUAUCAAUAUUGUGCUGUUUGCAUAGUGCACAGUUAUUCCAUCACACCCUACAUGAUAGAUGUAUGGACUGGCAAUAGCCGUAGCAGCGUGCACUAAUGUGCCUGCUGCUGCACCCUAGCAUCCUGCACACUGUGGUAGCACUCAAGACCGUGAAUGUCAUUCUGCUAUUAAUAAACCAGUAUGUACACGCACGUGGAAAUGACAUCGUGCUGUUGAUCCACCGUUGUCUUUGUCAUAUUCCAGUGGUAUGCAGCUGCACUCAUUCUUUCACUUACUUCUCAUUGUUAUGUAGACCGCCCUUUCCCUAGUUAUGCUUUUAUCUCCUUUCAAGUCAAUCAUUAUAAUAAUUCUGUAUGGCUACUUUUUUACACCGUUGAUGCAGAUCAUGAUUUUGAAUUCAGUGACAUUUCAGUCUCUUGAAUACUCGUAU